GCAAACAGGAUUAGAUACCCUGGUAGUCCACGCCGUAAACGAUGUCUACUUGGAGGUUGUGCCCUUGAGGCGUGGCUUCCGGAGCUAACGCGUUAAGUAGACCGCCUGGGGAGUACGGCCGCAAGGUUAAAACUCAAAUGAAUUGACGGGGGCCCGCACAAGCGGUGGAGCAUGUGGUUUAAUUCGAUGCAACGCGAAGAACC
RNAcentral lists this ribosomal RNA (203 nucleotides) under Salmonella enterica. Its description in RNAcentral is "partial 16S ribosomal RNA". It matches the Rfam family "Bacterial small subunit ribosomal RNA", at positions 768 to 970 of the family's 1533-position model. Lineage: Bacteria; Pseudomonadati; Pseudomonadota; Gammaproteobacteria; Enterobacterales; Enterobacteriaceae. The record is from RNAcentral.